UCUUAUUAAGAGUGGUGGAGGGACUGGCCCUAUGAAACCCAGCAACCUAUUUAUAUCUAAAUGUGGUGCUAAGUCCAACAGAUUAUCUGAGAAAUAAG
RNAcentral lists this non-coding RNA (98 nucleotides) under Clostridium nigeriense. Its description in RNAcentral is "SAM riboswitch (S box leader)". It matches the Rfam family "SAM riboswitch aptamer (S box leader)". From Rfam's summary of the family: The SAM riboswitch is found upstream of a number of genes which code for proteins involved in methionine or cysteine biosynthesis in Gram-positive bacteria. The SAM riboswitch acts at the level of transcription termination control. The record is from RNAcentral. Lineage: Bacteria; Bacillati; Bacillota; Clostridia; Eubacteriales; Clostridiaceae.